GGAGGGUGCAAGCGUUAUCCGGAUUCACUGGGUUUAAAGGGUGCGUAGGCGGAAUGGAAAGUCCGUUGUGAAAUCUCUGAGCUUAACUCGGAAAUUGCGGUGGAUACUAUCAUUCUUGAAUACUGUGGAGGUUAGCGGAAUAUGUCAUGUAGCGGUGAAAUGCAUAGAUAUGACAUAGAACACCAAUUGCGAAGGCAGCUGGCUACACAGAUAUUGACGCUGAGGCACGAAAGCGUGGGGAUCAAACAGGAUUAGAUACCCUGGUAGUCCACGCCCUAAACGAUGAUUACUCGACAUUUGCGAUACACAGCAAGUGUCUGAGCGAAAGCAUUAAGUAAUCCACCUGGGAAGUACGACCGCAAGGUUG
RNAcentral lists this ribosomal RNA (367 nucleotides) under uncultured organism. RNAcentral describes it as "bacterial SSU rRNA". It matches the Rfam family "Bacterial small subunit ribosomal RNA", at positions 527 to 896 of the family's 1533-position model. The record is from RNAcentral.